This 1281-nucleotide ribosomal RNA is filed under the name Triticum aestivum (bread wheat). Its description in RNAcentral is "partial small subunit ribosomal RNA". Lineage: Eukaryota; Viridiplantae; Streptophyta; Magnoliopsida; Poales; Poaceae. The record is from RNAcentral.
AUGGCGAUGUCUCGCGCCGCGGCAGCGGUCGGGCGGCGCCGGUGCGGGCCGCGCCUGCCCGCGGCGAGGUCCAUGGCGUCGUGGUUCGGCCACGUGGAGCCGGCCGCCAAGGACCCCAUCCUCGGCGUCACCGAGGCCUUCCUCGCCGACCCCUCGCCGGACAAAGUGAACGUCGGCGUCGGUGCGUACCGGGACGACGACGGGAAGCCCGUGGUGCUCGAGUGCGUGCGCGAGGCGGAGCGGCGCAUCGCCGGGAGCACCAACAUGGAGUACCUUCCAAUGGGAGGAAGCGUGAAGAUGAUCGAGGAGUCGCUGAAGCUGGCAUACGGGGAGGAUUCUGAGUUCAUCAAGGACAAGAGGAUUGCGGCAGUGCAGGCUCUUUCAGGGACUGGUGCAUGUCGCCUCUUUGCAGAUUUCCAGAAACGCUUCUUGCCGGAUUCACAGAUCUACAUACCUACGCCUACAUGGUCAAACCAUCACAACAUUUGGAGGGAUGCCCAGGUACCACAAAGAACAUUUGCCUACUACCACCCGGAAUCAAGAGGACUGGACUUUGCAGGCCUAAUGGAUGAUAUCAAGAACGCUCCAGAGGGUUCCUUCUUUUUGCUUCAUGCAUGUGCUCACAAUCCCACUGGGGUCGAUCCUUCUGAGGAACAGUGGAGAGAGAUAUCUCAACAAUUCAAGGUGAAGAACCAUUUCCCAUUUUUCGACAUGGCAUACCAAGGAUUUGCCAGUGGUGACCCAGAGAGAGAUGCCAAGGCAAUUCGGAUCUUUCUCGAAGAUGGACAUCAAAUUGGAUGUGCACAGUCAUAUGCAAAAAACAUGGGACUUUAUGGCCAAAGAGCAGGAUGCCUUAGUAUUCUCUGCGACGAUGAAAUACAAGCAGUUGAUGUGAAGAGCCAGUUACAACAGAUUGCCAGACCUAUGUACAGCAACCCACCCAUUCACGGCGCACUAAUUGUUUCCACUAUCCUUGGUGAUCCAGCACUGAAAAGCUUAUGGCUGAAAGAGGUCAAGGGUAUGGCUGAUCGCAUUAUUGGAAUGCGAAAAGCACUUAAGGAGAGCCUUGAAAAGUUGGGUUCACCAUUAUCAUGGGAACAUAUUACUAAUCAGAUUGGCAUGUUUUGCUACAGCGGGAUGACACCUGAACAAGUUGAUCGCUUAACAAAUGAAUUUCACAUAUACAUGACUCGUAAUGGCAGGAUAAGCAUGGCUGGUGUAACAACAGGAAAUGUCGCAUAUUUGGCUAACGCUAUUCAUGAGGUCACUAAGCCAAUUUAA